RNAcentral lists this long non-coding RNA (642 nucleotides) under Dasypus novemcinctus (nine-banded armadillo). RNAcentral describes it as "lncRNA (ENSDNOG00000050270.1)". Lineage: Eukaryota; Metazoa; Chordata; Mammalia; Cingulata; Dasypodidae. The record is from RNAcentral.
GCUUGAGCACAGUCCAAGAUGAAAGUUUCUGGGCUGUUUCCCCUUCGCUGCUUCCUCUCGCCCUUGCUCCCCUUAGAGCGGCAGCAGCCAAGCAAUUGUGCAAGAGGAGCCCGGCACGGGGCGCGUAUCACCGAGCGCAGGAGUCAGCACGCCGAGCCGCCUCCAGCGCGGCCUCGACCAAGGAACGGUUCUGGGGAGAACGCCAAGGCUGCGCCCAAGUGUGAGGGCGAGCGGGCAAGUGUGCGUGAGCCGGCACCAGCGAGCGGAGCGCAGGAGCGAGCGCGGAGGCGCGGUGCGGUGGCCGGCGUGGAGGAGCGAGGGACCGGGGCACAGCCCGCCACGCAGGCCGUCUCCUCCAAGGACCCUCGGCAGCGAUUCCUGCACAGCUUCCUCUCCUCAGGUCUGAAUCAAGCUGCUUUCAGCCACAUGAAGUCAGUUAUGCUGUUCUGAGGGGCCCCUAGAUUUUAUGACUGUGGUUGGGAAACGUACUCGGAGAGAGUAGACACUUUCAAGAAGUGAUUAAUAGAGAUGGAAAGAUGCAUUUGUUGGGUGGUGGGUUGUUUGUUUUUAUUGUUUUAUUUUGUUGUUGUUGUUUUAUUUUUAAUUUUAACAGAAAGCAAAGAAAUAAAUUGUCUUCCCAUG